AGAUCACCCGUAUACUCGUCUGCCAGAGAAGCUCCUGACGUCGUUGCGCUCUCAAGCGUCUACUGAUCUUACCAAAACCGGACUGGGAAGUCGUGGAUUCUCGUCUGGCACGCUAGGAAGUGUGGCCCGGAAGUGUUGCCAGGCUUUGUGUAAGCAUCGCCAUGUCUUCAAUCAUCAUCCUUCUGCUAUUUUUGUCCUUCUUGACUUCAACUUCUUCAACUUAUGCCUGUGGAGACGCACUAAUUCCAAUUCAAAUGUACAUCAACGGUCCUGGUUGUAGGAAUACACCAGUAAAAGGGCAGGGAUGCUUUGGAUAUUGUACAUCAUGCACAGGCAAUUCAGAGAGCAGCGUUACGUCCAUGGAGACACUUGACAUGAAGUGUUGUGGAGCAGCAAAGUAUGAAGAUAGAUAUACUUAUUUGUUUUGCAGCGGUCGAUAUCGACUGACAAAGUAUGCAGUUCCAUCACACUGCACCUGCCUGAACUGUCAAGUGAAAAAUUGAUGGAAUACAAUCAAUUACGUAGGAGAAAGUUGACUUACAAUACAUCGUAAUGAUUGGUGCUUUAUGCUGUGGAGUAACAAUAUCUAAAUUUGUUAGUGAUCGUUGACAUAGACUUGAUAGUGAAUAACUGCUUGAUGUCUGUCUGUAGAUGUACUUGAUCAGCUUGUUUGGAUAUGUCAGUGUUAUAGAUCAAGCUUUAUUGAGAUCUGAUUACUUAAAUGCUCAGAAAGAUUAUUCUGUAAAUGUACAGUCGAGGGUCUGGAACAUCAGUGCUAGCAUAUAUGAUGUCAAACAACAGGAAGUCAGUCGU
This is a long non-coding RNA of Corticium candelabrum, 813 nucleotides long. RefSeq lists it as uncharacterized. NCBI's taxonomy places the organism in Eukaryota, Metazoa, Porifera, Homoscleromorpha, Homosclerophorida, Plakinidae. The record is from RefSeq and is a predicted model, not a curated record. The transcript is spliced from 3 exons.